CAUGUCACUUCUGAGACUAGGUUGUAAAAGACAUUGUGAUUUUUUUACCUCUCUCUCUCUCUCUCUCUCUCUCUCUCUCAGGUCACUCACUAGGGGAAGGUCAAGUGCGAGCAGCUUCCAUAAAGGCCCACACUCUGAGACACUUAGGUCUUUGGAAAGUCCCAAGUGAAGAACUGAGGCUUCCUGCCAAUUGUUAAGGUUGAGUCUUCUUGAAAGCAAGUCCUCCGGUUCCAAUCAAGCCUUCAGACAACUUUAGUCCCUGCCAACAUGCUGAGUGCAACCUGAAUCAUGUACUAAACUUCUCCCAAGUUCUUGACUCCCCCCCAAACUGUGGGGAACCACUGGAUGGAUUCAGGCUGACUUAGUCAAGGGAAUGCUGUGGAACUUGUACUUUGCCUCCACAUCAACAGUAGCACCUGCGGUGACCCUUUUCAGAAGCGUCCCUGCUCACUUUCCUCAGGACAAAGCUUUUCCUUUCUCCCUGAACUUUGACAGGACCUAUCCUCUGAGGUGAAAAGGUGAAAGUAUUUGCCAUGCCCUGUGAUGAAUUCAGAAAAGAACUGGUCACGGGGCUUAUGCAGGAGCAGAGGUAAGCUCUGUAGGAGAGGUACAAUAACAAAUCACUGUAUGGAUUCCAAGCGGGAAUGCGGGACAGCCUUAGAAGUCCCUUUACUAUAAAGUCACCCUUAUCCCCCGUUCUCUUCACACAAUAGGAAAAAGUGAUAGAGCUGGGAAAAAUCCGGUGGAAGCUGUUAUUUUGUUUUUGUUUUUUUUUCUUUGUUUUGUUUUUGAGAGGGAGGUAGAGGGCCCAAGUUGAGCCAGUGGCAGAGAGAGACAGAGACAGAGAGAGAGAGAGAGAGAGAGAGAGAGAGAAGCGGGGCUCAAGCCGGGCUCCUGUUCACCGGAUGUGGGGCUCAAGCUCACGUGAAACGGGAGUCAUGCUCACCCGAAUCGGGACUGGAACUCCAGAACCGUGAGAUCCUGACCUGAGCUGAGCCAAAGUCAGAUGUUGGCUCAACCGACUGAGCCACCCAGGUGCUCUAGAAGCUGUUUUUUAAAGACGUCAGAAUAGGGCGGCAAAAGAGGAGAGUACGAAGUGAUAUUAGUGAUUUUGACAACUCGAAAAAGCACGUGCUUUGUUGUCCUAAGUUCACGACACAUUAUUUUUAAGGAAUAGUACUAAGUUAUUAUUUUUUUAAGUAAACUUUUUUUUUUUAAUUUUGAGUAAAAAUACUUCAGGAUAUUUAAGAACGAUUUCUUUUUCUUCCCAGAGGAGGAGUUAAAAGCUCUCUAAGUGAGAGGUAAAUGGAUCAUAGGAAAAUAAAAAGGGUAGAUAACGGUAAUGUCAGUGGGUCAGCCUACAAAAGGAUCAAUUUUUUAGUCUUAGAGCAUAUUAGAUCAUAUUCUCUCUCUCUAGAUAAAUUAAUAUCCACGCAAAGUCCCAGAUUCUCAGAAUGUGGACGCACAAUUACUCAUUUAAUACCAUCACCUUCUUCCUGAGAGAAACUGUAAGGAGCAGAGAGCAUGGUUGAGGGCGGUGGUUUCUCACCACUCCAGAGAAUACCAGGAAUUAAGAGUCUUUCUGAGCAUCUCCUGGCCUCCAGCAACAAGGUGCUUAUCGCUGCUGGGACUGAAGGAAGAGAGAAUAAGAGGGCGACACUCCCCACCCUCUUCUGCUGCCUGAGCACAGCAAAGGUGUCAACAUCUCUGACUGCAUAUAAAAUGCCAUGUGGUUGGCAAUUUGCAUCAGUCAGCUUACGUUUAAGGCCUAUUGGCUUUGACUACUUGAGUGUAUAGUCUGAUAAGCAAAGAAAUAACAUGUAUUCUGCACCUGCAUUUGCUUGGGGAAUGAAGGGUAUGGGAUGCAAAGGCAGCCUUGAGGCACCUGAGGAGACCAUGACCCAGGAAUUCACAAAUACUGAAAAUUCUAGUGGUCCAGUAAAGGAAAUGCCACAUUUCCCAUUAGCAAUUCAUUCCUGACAAGAUAGUGUGCAAUAGCCUCAGGUUCAUGUUUUUUGACCUGUCUACAAAUACUUUUUUUAACUGAAAUUAUUUCUAGUAAAAUUGAUAAUUCUGCUGUUUAUCUCUUGAAAUUUUAUCUCCCAAUUUUUUUGGACACUUGUCACUCUGGAGACUUAUUUGUGUGUAGCCAGGAUGGGAGGGAUCUGCAUCGUGUUCACUACUCAGAGUCUUACUCAGCAUUCUUGUCUUGUUCCUAGAAGAUUUUCUUGCCAUUUUCAUAAGCCUGUAAACUUUUCAAGAGCCAAGAAUGUCAGUAAACUUGCUACUUUCUCCUCCUGCAGCACUUAAUGCUCCUUUUCUUUCCUUUCUUUGGUCUUCCGCCAGAGGGCAUAAUAAACCUAUCGAAUACACAGCCAGACAUAGGCGUGUUUAAUGCAUGAAGUGAAACUUUUGAAUUAGUUUUAAAUGGCUCUAAUUUCAUUACUCUAAGGCAUUGUGGUGAAGAGU
Acinonyx jubatus (cheetah) is the source of this 2469-nucleotide long non-coding RNA. RefSeq lists it as uncharacterized. NCBI's taxonomy places the organism in Eukaryota, Metazoa, Chordata, Mammalia, Carnivora, Felidae. The transcript has 3 exons. The record is from RefSeq and is a predicted model, not a curated record.